UACGGGGGGGGCAAGCGUUGUUCGGAAUUACUGGGCGUAAAGGGCUCGUAGGCGGCCAACUAAGUCGGACGUGAAAUCCCCAGGCUCAACCUGGGAACUGCGUCCGAUACUGGAUGGCUUGAAUCCGGGAGAGGGAUGCGGAAUUCCAGGUGUAGCGGUGAAAUGCGUAGAUAUCUGGAGGAAUACCGGUGGCGAAGGCGGCAUCCUGGACCGGCAUUGACGCUGAGGAGCGAAAGCCAGGGGAGCAAACGGG
This 253-nucleotide ribosomal RNA is filed under the name uncultured bacterium. Its description in RNAcentral is "partial 16S ribosomal RNA". It matches the Rfam family "Bacterial small subunit ribosomal RNA", at positions 524 to 776 of the family's 1533-position model. The record is from RNAcentral.